GGUUUGUUUGUUUACGUUUAAAAGCAAAGUAAGUUUUACCAGUUUUACUACUGGUUUAGACAAACAAAUUGGUUAUUUACACAUUUUUUGGUAUGCCUCAAGUCCAUAGAUAGUAUGUAGAAUUUCAAUUUAUGCCUGGAGAAGUUCAAAUGGAAGAUGAAGCUGAGACUUUGACAUUCCAGGCCAAGAUUGCUCAGCUUAUGAGCUUGAUUAUCAACACCUUCUAUAGUUGAUCUCCAACUGCUCAGAUGCCCUAGACAAGAUCCAUUAUGAAUCCCUGACUGACCCAAGCAAGUUGGACAGCGGCAAGGAUCUUAAAAUCAAGA
This is a long non-coding RNA of Daphnia pulex (common water flea), 326 nucleotides long. RefSeq lists it as uncharacterized. Lineage: Eukaryota; Metazoa; Arthropoda; Branchiopoda; Diplostraca; Daphniidae. The transcript is spliced from 2 exons. The record is from RefSeq and is a predicted model, not a curated record.